GACGAACGCUGGCGGCGUGCCUAAUACAUGCAAGUCGAACGAGAGCGACCGGUGCUUGCACUGGUCAAUCUAGUGGCGAACGGGUGAGUAACACGUGGGUAACCUGCCCAUCAGAGGGGGAUAACAUCCGGAAACGGAUGCUAAAACCGCAUAGGUCUUCGAGCCGCAUGGCUUGAAGAGGAAAAGAGGCGCAAGCUUCUGCUGAUGGAUGGACCCGCGGUGCAUUAGCUAGUUGGUGAGGUAACGGCUCACCAAGGCCGUGAUGCAUAGCCGACCUGAGAGGGUGAUCGGCAACAUUGGGACUGAGACACGGCCCAAACUCCUACGGGAGGCAGCAGUAGGGAAUCUUCCGCAAUGGACGCAAGUCUGACGGAGCAACGCCGCGUGAGUGAAGAAGGUUUUCGGAUCGUAAAACUCUGUUGUUAGAGAAGAACAAGUGCUAGAGUAACUGUUAGCGCCUUGACGGUAUCUAACCAGAAAGCCACGGCUAACUACGUG
This 498-nucleotide ribosomal RNA is filed under the name uncultured bacterium. RNAcentral describes it as "partial 16S ribosomal RNA". It matches the Rfam family "Bacterial small subunit ribosomal RNA", at positions 28 to 507 of the family's 1533-position model. The record is from RNAcentral.